CCCUAGCCGUGAUAGUAACGGUUACCCCGCAACACGGAGCUGGAGAGUGAAAGGCUUUGAGCGUUGGCAUGGGUUGGCGUGAGGAGUAUGAGUGGAUAGCGCGAUUAAGC
Molecule: unclassified non-coding RNA, 110 nt
Filed under: Chryseobacterium polytrichastri
Lineage: Bacteria; Pseudomonadati; Bacteroidota; Flavobacteriia; Flavobacteriales; Weeksellaceae
Description: Flavo-1 RNA
Source: RNAcentral